This 2120-nucleotide long non-coding RNA is filed under the name Callithrix jacchus (white-tufted-ear marmoset). Its description in RNAcentral is "lncRNA (ENSCJAG00000072418.1)". The record is from RNAcentral. Lineage: Eukaryota; Metazoa; Chordata; Mammalia; Primates; Cebidae.
UUUUUAAGAUGAUACAAUUUACAGCAUGCAAGUUUGCUGUCUGUCUCCUCCCUUUAUGUACAUAUAAAAUGAGCAAACGUGGCCAUGAAGCAGAUGGUCAUGGAAUUGGUUCAGUGUUUGUGAGUUCCACAAACCAAGAGCGUCUCAUCUGAAACACCACCAGGAAUAUCUGGACACAGCAGACCAAGUUAGUUCAGCUGGUCGCCUUGGGAUACGUGUGUCCAGAAAGAAAGGAGAUGAAAAGAAACUGGAAUGACAGAAUAUCAGAGCCAGAGGAAAACGUGGAUCAUCCCCUGCACCUGCCCACAGGUCCACUGUCCACUCCUCUCCAUCCUGUCUCAUGCCACUUGGAGCUCGUCACCUCUAGAACGCAUCCCUGACUCCCCUGCGUGCACAAUUCCAGUUAGGGUUAGCGAUGGGGGACACCUGAUGGAGCCUGGAAGUGAGAGGAAGGAAAAAGAGAGAAAAUGCAAAUUAUCUUUAUCAGGAACUAAAAAGGUGAUAUGCAUAGAUUCCGAUAUUAAAAGGAUAUUUAAAAAUUACGAUAAGCAACUUUAUGUUCAUGAAAGCAAUAAUAUAGCUAAAAUGGGCAAGUUUCUUGAAAAGGACAAUUCACCUAAACUUACAAGAGGAAAUAGAAGAAUAUUUCUCUACCUAUAAAAGAAAUUGGAUUAAUGAUUUAAAAAUCUGAUGCUAAGCAAAAUCUAAGCCUAGAGGUUGAAUUCUUUCCUUUAUCUACAGAUGACAUCAUAAAAAUAUAAAAUUAAUUUUUUCAGAACAUAGAAGAGGAACCUUUCAACGUUUUUGAGGCAAGCAUAACCCUGAUAGGAAAACCAAAGCAAAUAUAACCCUGAUACCAAAAGAUUUUAAAAGAAAAAAAAUCACUACUUCUUGUAAGCAGAGAUGCAAGAAAUCCUACAAAAAAUUAACAAGUUAAAGCCAAACAUAUAGCAGGUAUAAUAAGUCUUGACCAAGUCUAGUUUAUUACAGGGAUAUAAAGUUUAUUCAACAUUUGUAAAUCAAUUAAUGUUCUUCAGCCCAUUAACAGAAGGAAAAAAUUAUACCAACAUUUAAAUUAAUGCAGACAAAGUAUUUGUCAAGAUUGAAACUCAUUCAUGAUUUUAAAAAGAAAAAAAAACAUGUAGCACACUAGGAAUAGAAGGAACUUUCUGUAACUUGAGAAAUGCAUCUGUGAAGAACAUCCAGCUAAUAUCGUGGUUAAUAGUGAAAAGCUAAAUGCUUUUCAUCUAAGACAGAGAAUAGGGGAAGAAUGUCAGCUUUUGCUACGUUUAUUCACUAUCAUUCUGGAGGUCUUAGUCAAAGCAACAAUGAAAAGAAAGACAAAUAAAAAGUAAUAAAGUGUGAAAAUCAAGACAUGAAACAAUCCAUAUUCACGACUAACAUGUAUGUAGACGAUCCUAAGAAAUGUGCUUAAAGUUACUUGUAUUAAACUGUGAAUUUUGCAGGGUCACAAGCUUCAAUGAACAAAAACCAGAAAGCCUCAACAAAUGAAGAGAUGUAACUUGUAGAAGAAUGGGAAGAUUAAAAAAAAAAAGAAUGAGAAGAUUUUAAUGUUACCACGGAUGUCAUUUAUACUUUCAGCUCCUGGUUUUCCAGUAUUGGUUGAAAAAUAUAUCCCCAUUGCCAAUAUCAUGUAUAUAUUUUCUUAAGUUGUCUUGAAAGAUUUUAAAUUAAAUUGAAAUUUUAUUUUACAUUUUAGGCUCAAAUCCGUUUUUUGAGUAAGAUGAGGUUCAACAUUAUUUCCUUCCAGAUAGACACUAAAUUUUGCCAGCAUAGACUAUUUUUAAAAAUAUAUUUCCUCCACUGAUUUGAUGUGUCAUUAUGAUGUAUUAAAUUUUUACAGACAAUGAUCCAUAAUGACUUAUCUAGACUCUUUCACUUAUCUAUUUAUUUGUUGGUUUAUAUACUGAUACCAUAUUAUUGUUCCCAAUCAGCUUGUGGAAGCUGAGGCAGGAGGAUGGCUUGAGCCAGGAGUUGGAGGCUGCAGUGAGCUGGGAUCGCACCAUGGCACUCCAGCCUGUUUCAAAAACAAUGCAUCUCCUAAGUUUAUGGUUUAAUGCAUUUUGACAAAUUCGUACAAUUGUAGUAGAUUCAUGGAG